This 1504-nucleotide small RNA is filed under the name Rattus norvegicus (Norway rat). Its description in RNAcentral is "uncharacterized LOC102551534". Lineage: Eukaryota; Metazoa; Chordata; Mammalia; Rodentia; Muridae. The record is from RNAcentral.
AGGCUCAGGCUCCUGCUACUGCCUAGGCCUCUACCAGCUGCUGUGCUUCAAGCAGAAGGACGGGAUUUCUACAGACUAGGGCUCAACCGGCUGCCUACUUGGGAUCGGGGCGAGGUGGUGGGACCUCCCGCAGCCAUAAGAGCCUGGGGGCAACCAGGCAGAAACUGCUGGUGUGAUAACAGUUGGUGUCUGCCCAGGACACCCUCUCUCCUCUCUUCCUUCCCUUGCACAAGAAUUAGUACAGUUCCUACCUCAUCAUCUUCGUGAGGAAGACCUGGGUUCAGUCCCCAGCACCCACCCGGUGUACAUGUACAUGUGAUCCGACCACACUCUUUUGUCCUCCGCAGGCGCCAGACACACGGCCUCACGCACAUACAGGCGGGUGGAUGCAUGUCCUACUAUGAGUGUGGAGGUGAGAGUGUGGAUGGUUCUCUCCUUCCAUCCAGGGUCCUGAAGCCUGGGAAAGGAAAGGAAGACAGGACCCCAAGUCAAGGAAAAGGCUUUCCAGCUGACAACUGAACAGCCUCCAUCAUGAGGAAAGCAGAGGCCGGACAACUGUGGAGCCCAGCAGUUCAAAGCCAGCCUGGGCAACCGAGCGAGACCUUGUCCAAAAGAGAGGGGGUCAGGGCCCAGUGUUAUAGCAUCUAUUUACCACAGCACAGACAAGGGACAAUAUCAUCAUAGCCUAAAACAAGAUGUAGAGCUCUCAGCACCGUGUUUCAUGUUUCUCGCUAUGACAACGAUGGACUGAACCUCUGAACUGGGCCUGCCCCACACUUGGAAGGAGGAAGGCUGCAGGGACGCAUCUAAGCGGACAGGCCCUGCAUGGCCUGCAUAGUCUGUUGUCACAAGAUCAGAUCCUCACACUUCUAUAUGACUGUGUGCUUUCAAGGUACCUACGUAUAAAGCAGACAGCUCCCUGGGGUCUUCGGGUCUUUGUUCUUGAAAGCUCCCAUGUCAUAUAGACCUUGGAUUUUCUGUAUAUGUCAUGCCUUUUCUAUGUAAUGAAGGCAUGGUCACUCUGUAAAGAGAACACAACCCAGGCCAAGAUGGAAGGACUGGAGCCAGGCCAGGACUGCAGACAGACACUGCUGCUCCCGUGGGUACUCACUGUCUUCAUCCCAGCAAGCUGAGGCCAGAGGUGGGGGAGGACACAGGAAGAACCAGCUGGCUGGGUAGGCUGGGCUGGCACGCAGUGAGUACACAGAGGAAUAAAGGAGAGAGAAGCUAACUGUUCUCUCAGGAGCCAGGGUUCCUGCUGUGACCUGUUCCCGGUUGUGGGAGGAUAAAAGGCCCCCAUACUCUGUAAGGUUUCAGAGUCGGCGGACGUUUAGGGAAUGUACUUUUGGAAUUAGUUUAUAUUUGUCUUCCUCCCUCCCUCCCUCCCUCCCUCCCUCCCUUCCUUCCUUCCUUCCUUUCUUCCUUCCUGAGACAGAGUUCUAGGCUGACUAAAACUCAAUAUGAUGACUUUAAGACUUGUUUGUAGGGGUUGGGGAUUUAGCUC